Molecule: ribosomal RNA, 265 nt
Filed under: uncultured prokaryote
Description: partial 16S ribosomal RNA
Rfam family: Bacterial small subunit ribosomal RNA
Source: RNAcentral
UACGGAGGUUGCAAGCGUUGUUCGGAAUGACUGGGCGUAAAGGGAGCGCAGGCGGCCAAGUCAGUCUGAAGUGAAAGCCCGGGGCUUAACCCCGGAAUAGCUUUGGAUACUGCCUGGCUUGAGUGUGCGCUGGGAAAGCGGAAUUCCAGGUGUAGCGGUGAAAUGCGUAGAUAUCUGGAGGAACACCGGUGGCGAAAGCGGCUUUCUGGCGCAUAACUGACGCUGAGGCUCGAAAGCGUGGGGAGCAAACAGGAUUAGAUACCCU